This 423-nucleotide ribosomal RNA is filed under the name Escherichia coli. Its description in RNAcentral is "partial 23S ribosomal RNA". It matches the Rfam family "Bacterial large subunit ribosomal RNA", at positions 2376 to 2798 of the family's 2925-position model. Lineage: Bacteria; Pseudomonadati; Pseudomonadota; Gammaproteobacteria; Enterobacterales; Enterobacteriaceae. The record is from RNAcentral.
CGAGCGUGACGGCGCGAGCAGGUGCGAAAGCAGGUCAUAGUGAUCCGGUGGUUCUGAAUGGAAGGGCCAUCGCUCAACGGAUAAAAGGUACUCCGGGGAUAACAGGCUGAUACCGCCCAAGAGUUCAUAUCGACGGCGGUGUUUGGCACCUCGAUGUCGGCUCAUCACAUCCUGGGGCUGAAGUAGGUCCCAAGGGUAUGGCUGUUCGCCAUUUAAAGUGGUACGCGAGCUGGGUUUAGAACGUCGUGAGACAGUUCGGUCCCUAUCUGCCGUGGGCGCUGGAGAACUGAGGGGGGCUGCUCCUAGUACGAGAGGACCGGAGUGGACGCAUCACUGGUGUUCGGGUUGUCAUGCCAAUGGCACUGCCCGGUAGCUAAAUGCGGAAGAGAUAAGUGCUGAAAGCAUCUAAGCACGAAACUUGCC